GAAGCCCCACCCCUUUGAGGAUUUAUAGAUGUUUCCAGAGCCAGACACCUUUCCCUGGUGAAGCUGCUUUGCCCGUUGAUCGAACGCCUGCCAUGGUUUCUGGCCACCCGUCCUCAGGAUGUCGGGCACACGUGUCUCCCUCAAGCUCUCUGCUGUAGAUGGAGUAGAACUGUGUUACACCAGAAAACAACAGGGACCUAUGGAAACAGAGGUAAGAGGAAUACAAAGAAGGAACGAAGAUGCCAGCAAAAUGGCUACAAACGUUGAGAUGAAUGUGCACCAAGGGACUGCAAAGGUAACAGAUCCCUCUGAAGGUGCCCUGGGCAUUUGCUCUGACUCAAUCAUGGAUAAGAACGUUUGGCCUGUCUCGAUGAUGGUAUUUAAUGCCUUGAAUUUCCCUGACUCAGUAACCCUUUGACGUAUGUGGAAAACAAGGCAAACAUGAAAUGAGGCAACAUUCCAGUUGUUCAGGAAGUGCCUGCCUUUGAAGAGAACCAGGAAGUCACACCCUCAACGCCCCUCAGUUUUUCAGGUACGAAAACAGACUUCUUGAAGGAAAAGGAGGACCAGGACUGCAGCAGGAGCAUCUUCUAAUGUCUGGGCUUCUGCUCUGUUCCUCAGUUGUGGUCACAGUCACUUGGGUGGCACUCGGUACCUGAAAAAUGCCGUUGUUACAAUGAAGUCAUCUCUGUAUCAAAUUUAGAUGAUAUAAACAUUGCUCUAAGGGUUUAAGAAGACACUUGGAUUUUUGCUUAAUUUUUUUUAUUUCACCUCUAGCAAUACAGGUAAAAUUCUUAACGGGUUAUUUUCAGAAUAACAUAUUUCUCUCUUAGCGUCUCACAGUGCAAAUGCAGAUGGUUCACUGUUUCUGGAGAUGGUGGAAAGAAACCUGGCUGCUAGGUUCUGCCUCUAGCUUUGUUAAGUCUCCCCUCCCCCCAUCGAUAACCUUGAGUUGUUGUGAGGAGACAUCUAGGAGAGGCUAAAGGCUAGCAGGUGACUUUCCUGAAAUGGUCCACCAAAUGCAUGGACGACAAUGGAAGAGCUCUGGGAGGCAAGGCUCGAGAAGACUUCAUCUCAGGAUUGAUUCUUGCACCUACUAUGCCUUUCCUAUCAUUGUUAAAUUAGUAUAAUAAUCCCUGGGCAUUAGCCCACCCAAUUGGGAAGAUUUUCUUCAGAUCCACAAAGAUGUACUCUUUUGUGCAUCUAUGUAGACAAAUAGAUGAUUUCUUCAUUCCUGAUAAUGAUUCUAUAGAAUUCCUAGAUUUUACACAUGUAAUUUUAUGCCCUCUGUAAUUUGAAAACCGCAGUUAGGAUUCUGUUAUCCUUCAUGUAUCACAGGCUGUUUACACUAAGGCAGGCACAAAAGGGAUUUACAAAUAAGGAAAACAUUCCUUUAGGCUGUAAAACCAUUAUCUGAUAACUAAAGGUCAUAAAAGGGGAUGAACAGUUUAUUCUAUGUGCAAGGACAGAAGAUAAAAUAGUAAAUGGAUUUAUCUACACAAAAUUUCAAUACUAGUGAGAUAGUAGGCAGAUGAUGGGCCUCUUGACCUAUAGUGUUAACUUAGACAUAAGAAUUAUAGCUUUUAACUUUUAAUGAACCUGUGGGGGCUAGUGAUAGAUAAUGAAUACUUAGAUAACUGUUCUUAAUGGAAACGUAUGUAAACAUCUUUGUUGUUUCUUCUUAUUUAAUGCAUGAUUUGAAUUUAUGUUUGAACUUGUGAACUUUUGAAAAAAGGAUGCCUGGAAUACCAUGUGAUGUAUCCUGAAAAAGUAUAAGUAUUGAGAACAAAGACAACAGUCAGACAGGUUUUGUUUUUCUUACAAUCAAGUUUUUCUUAAGAUCAAUACAAAGUUAGUUCCCCCAUUUCUUUCUCUUAGAAAUAAAGAUGAGAGUCUCUUCUCAAAGUCCUUGCUUCUUUCUGUGGCUUUCUCUAGCUGUCAAGGAGUCAGUGAACUCCCAGCUUCAGGGCUCCAGGCCUGGGAGGCCCAAGGGGACAAGAACCAAGAACUGCUUUACAAAAUCCCUGUUGUUGAACAAUUAAGUGUUAAUUGCUAGAGGUCUGAAACUUCUGGUCUCAGAAUAACUUAAGUGUCAAGACAGGUAAACGUUAUUUAAUUAUAAGCAAAUUUACUCUAGCAAAACCAAGUUUUGCCCCCUGUAACCACACCCACUGAUGCUGUACCCGCUCUGCUGCCUUCCAAAGAGAACCAGUGCUCUCAGAUAGGCUCCUGACAAGUUGUGAACUUUAGCAAUGCAUUCUACAGAUGAUUUACUCACAAGAAAUUUGGAGCAUUGCUGAAAUGUUUUUACACAUAAUACGUUUUGAGGAUAUAACUCCGGCUCACCUCUGUUGGGAUCUAAUGCAAACCCCAAGAACUGUGCUGGAAGCCUCUGUUUAUCUUGGCUCAUUGUUCUCCCCAAGUGCCUGAAGGCGCACAUUUUUACAACUACACAGGCAUAAUCCCAAGUUCUGAUUUUAAUAUAUUCCCAUUAUAUCUUUGUCUCUUCAAUCAAGUCCCCAAGUGGAACAAACCAAGAGCUCCCUUAAUUCUUCAUUUUGUUUGGAAGAUACUUUAUUAAAAAGACACAAAAUAUAUAAUGUAUAAAUGGUAUAAGCAGGAAAGACUAAUGAUUAAGACUCAAUCCUGUGUUCUAUCAGUGAGCUACUGGGCCCUGGGAAGUUUCCUGAGUUAAGGCCUUGAGCCUUAACUAUUUCAUCUAUGUAAUUGCCUUGGCUACUUCUUGGCACUUCUCUCUGUGCCUCACAGGCAGAUUCUAAAGCAAAAAAAAAAAAAAAGUGUUAAUGGUAAACACCCACAAUUCAAAAGCAGACACAAAUAUGUUCUUGUCUUAAUGUUUAUUAUUUCUGUUAUUUCUGAGAUUAUAUCACACCCCCUCCCUUUCCUCCCUCUGAACCCUCCAAUAUUUCCCUCCUGGCUCUCUUUCAAAUUCACAGAC
This 2959-nucleotide small RNA is filed under the name Rattus norvegicus (Norway rat). RNAcentral's name for it is "uncharacterized LOC102548648". The record is from RNAcentral. Lineage: Eukaryota; Metazoa; Chordata; Mammalia; Rodentia; Muridae.